UUUCAAAAUUCCAACCGACAUUCACCACUUCAGUGGUAGGCCUAAGGUACUCAUGCUGGGACAGGUGCUACUUACGUAACGUAGAAUGAUGUUUAUGGAAAUAACUAUGUACGCAAUGGCUUUGUUUGUCACUGCUUGGGGAGUUUUCUUUUCAUGCAGAAGGUUUAAAAUCAUUCUCCAAUAUUUCUUGGGUCAGCCAAGGGACCAAAAGCCUCAAGAAGACACACAUCCAAAUGAAGAAAAAAAAAAGGGAAUGAGUUUUUCUUUUACUACUAUGCAAUGCAAGGUACACAGGAAUGUAUCUACUUACUGAUGGAUUAGUACGAUCAAUCAGUUCAAUGGCAAAGAGAUUUCCCUUGAUGUCAAUUCUUUGUAAUGUGUGUUGAAAGGUGGUUUAAUGUUAUGUAAAGAAAAUGUAAUAAUUAAAUAAAUGAGUUUGUCAUAA
This is a long non-coding RNA of Schistocerca piceifrons (Central American locust), 445 nucleotides long. RefSeq lists it as uncharacterized. The record is from RefSeq and is a predicted model, not a curated record. NCBI's taxonomy places the organism in Eukaryota, Metazoa, Arthropoda, Insecta, Orthoptera, Acrididae. The transcript is spliced from 2 exons.